RNAcentral lists this ribosomal RNA (253 nucleotides) under uncultured bacterium. Its description in RNAcentral is "partial 16S ribosomal RNA". It matches the Rfam family "Bacterial small subunit ribosomal RNA", at positions 524 to 776 of the family's 1533-position model. The record is from RNAcentral.
UACGAAGGGGGCUAGCGUUGUUCGGAAUCACUGGGCGGAAAGCGCACGUAGGCGGAUGUGUCAGUCAGGGGUGAAAUCCCGGAGCUCAACUCCGGAACUGCCUCUGAUACAGCACGUCUUGAGUUCGAGAGAGGUGGGUGGAAUUCCUAGUGUAGAGGUGAAAUUCGUAGAUAUUAGGAAGAACACCGGUGGCGAAGGCGGCCCACUGGCUCGAUACUGACGCUGAGGAGCGAAGGCCAGGGGAGCAAACGGG